The sequence is a small nuclear RNA, 131 nucleotides long. Its record names the gene U2. It matches the Rfam family "U2 spliceosomal RNA". From Rfam's summary of the family: U2 is a small nuclear RNA (snRNA) component of the spliceosome (involved in pre-mRNA splicing). Complementary binding between U2 snRNA (in an area lying towards the 5' end but 3' to hairpin I) and the branchpoint sequence (BPS) of the intron results the bulging out of an unpaired adenosine, on the BPS, which initiates a nucleophilic attack at the intronic 5' splice site, thus starting the first of two transesterification reactions that mediate splicing. The record is from Ensembl.
AUCGCUUCUCGGCCUUUUGGCUAAGAUCAAGUGUAAAAACGUUUUUUCUUAAAUCCUGGAUCUGUGCAAUGGAUACGUGUCGUUUGGUUAUUCCUGUUUUCACUUAUCAGAUAAUAAUUUCCAAAAAUAAU